RNAcentral lists this ribosomal RNA (253 nucleotides) under uncultured bacterium. RNAcentral's name for it is "partial 16S ribosomal RNA". It matches the Rfam family "Bacterial small subunit ribosomal RNA", at positions 524 to 776 of the family's 1533-position model. The record is from RNAcentral.
UACGUAGGGAGCAAGCGUUGUUCGGAUUUACUGGGCGUAAAGGGCGCGUAGGCGGCGCGGUAAGUCACUUGUGAAAUCCCCAAGCUUAACUUGGGAACUGCGUCUGAUACUGGGUGGCUUGAGUUCGGGAGAGGAAUGUGGAAUUCCAGGUGUAGCGGUGAAAUGCGUAGAUAUCUGGAGGAACACCGGUGGCGAAGGCGGCAUUCUGGACCGAAACCGACGCUGAGGCGCGAAAGCCAGGGGAGCAAACGGG